Molecule: long non-coding RNA, 1468 nt
Organism: Hyla sarda
Lineage: Eukaryota; Metazoa; Chordata; Amphibia; Anura; Hylidae
Exons: 5
Source: RefSeq, a predicted model, not a curated record
GGAAGAUUCCCUCAGCCAAUCACUGACUGAGAUAGGACACCGCUGUGACCAGUGAUUGACUGAGACGAGCAGGAAGAAGGAUAACUAGGAGAGAAUUUUUUUCAUGUCACAUAGGGAGCUGCAAGUGACCGGAGUAGGACGAGGAGCGAGUUCAUCAGUGCUUGAAGAUUUAUUUUGGUGGUAUACAGACUCAUGUCCUCGCUGAGUUAAAGCACGGAGAGGAUCCUUACUGGUGGCUUUUGGAGACGUUUCAUCUGAGGAUGCCCGAAAAUUACCCACAGCAUGAACUCAGGACAUUGCCCUAUGGGACUUGGUCAGGUCUGACAACAGGACAGGUCAGUUUGCAGAAUGCUGGAAAUUCCCGAUGAAUAAAAGGACCGUAUAAUUGGACAAUCAUAUUAAUACAAGAUAUGCCCCAGUUUUGCCUGACAGUGUAAACGGUGAUUCUCUGUUGCUAAGAUGCAGGCAUGGUUGCUUGGUUACUGUUGACAGAUAUCUACCUGGUGAACACUUUGGCACAUGAGGUCCAGUCCAGCUAGAAUGUUUGGGAAAAAGAAAAAGGAAGUCCAGGCUCAAUAUGUGUAGUGCAUGCCAGCAGCUUCUUCCUGAUGCAGGAUACUGAUGCUUCCUGUGGGAUGUGGAGGAUUUUUAUCUUCAUGCUGAAAAGCUUUUUGUCUGGAUUUAAAUAACAAUUUACUAAAACCUUUUUACAUGUUUGGACACAUAAAGCCUCGAAAGACUGUCAAAGGCUAAAGAGCAAUUAUCCUAGUCAAACUAUACCUCCUUCUUCUUUGAUGUACUUUCUGAAGGAGAAGUUAAUCUGAGGAUUGUGAGGAGGGACUUCUAAUGAGUGUUAUAUUCUUCACAAAGGCAAAAUCUCGAGUUUAAUAAAGACUAUAGAAUCAAACAAACAAUAAAUACAAAGCUGUCCAUAUACUUUCGAAAGCUUACUGCUGACAGCUAUUCUUAAUGAACCCCGUUCAUGUAUUGCCAAUGCAAAGAGGGGAGUAACUCUGUCCAUAAUAAAUGAUUUUGGUCAUUUUGGCUGACCAUUGUAUGUAAAUUACAUGCAGAUGAUCAUUCUGUAUGACCAAUGGAAGAUUAAGAAGAAAAAUAAGGAGUUUUUUUUUAAAUUGAUAGUGGAUCCUGCAUGUCACCCAGUCAGAGGUUAUAUGCCCAGCAGAGGUGAGUUGAAUUAGCUUGUUAGGGUCCCAUCUGAAGUGAGGCCACCUCCGCUAAGAGCCUCCAUUUACAGUGGGGAAAAAAGGAUUUAGUCAGCCACGAAUUGUGCAAGUUCUCCCACUUAAAAAGAUGAGAGAGGCCUGUAAUUUUCAUCAUAGUGUGACACUGUGGCAAGGGAAGGGUGUAUUUUCCUAGCUAACCCUGGAGAAACCUCCACCUGUGGCCUAAUUAAUGAGGUAGCAGAAAGGGGAAGUGUGUUUAAAAGGAAGUCGGACAGAAUAGUUGG